RNAcentral lists this non-coding RNA (57 nucleotides) under Trypanosoma brucei brucei. The record is from RNAcentral. Lineage: Eukaryota; Euglenozoa; Kinetoplastea; Trypanosomatida; Trypanosomatidae.
AUAACUACACAAUGCACAGAUAAAGAUUGAGUGAUAUGAUACAGUGAUUUAAUAAUU